RNAcentral lists this ribosomal RNA (301 nucleotides) under uncultured bacterium. RNAcentral's name for it is "partial 16S ribosomal RNA". It matches the Rfam family "Bacterial small subunit ribosomal RNA", at positions 509 to 807 of the family's 1533-position model. The record is from RNAcentral.
CAGCCGCCGCGGUAAAACGUAGGGGGCUAGCGUUGCUCGGAAUCACUGGGCGUAAAGGGUGCGUAGGCGGGUCUUUAAGUCAGAGGUGAAAUCCUGGAGCUCAACUCCAGAACUGCCUUUGAUACUGGAGAUCUCGAGUUCGGGAGAGGUGAGUGGAACUGCGAGUGUAGAGGUGAAAUUCGUAGAUAUUCGCAAGAACACCAGUGGCGAAGGCGGCUCACUGGCCCGAUACUGACGCUGAGGCACGAAAGCGUGGGGAGCAAACAGGAUUAGAUACCCGUGUAGUCCCUGUCUCUUAUAC